GACGAACGCUGGCGGCGUGCUUAACACAUGCAAGUCGAACGGAAAGGCCCUGCUCUUGUGGGGUGCUCGAGUGGCGAACGGGUGUGUAACACGUGUGUAACCUGCCCUUGACUUUGGGAUAACUUCAGGAAACUGGGGCUAAUACCGGAUAGGAGAUCCUGCUGCAUGGUGGUGGUUGGAAAGUUUCGGCGGUUGUGGCUGGAAUGGCGGCUUAUGAGCUUGUUGGUGGGGUAGUUGCUUACCAAGGCUUUGAGGGGUAGCCGGCCUGAGAGGGGAGACGGCGACAUGGGGACUGAGAGACGGCCCAGACGGCUACGUGAGGCAGCAGGCGGGAGUAUUGCAGAGUGGGCGGAAGCCUGAGGCAGCAACGCCGCGAGCGUGAUGACGUGCUUCGAGUGAUAAACCGCUGUCGCCUGUGACGAGGCGGGAGUGACGGUAAUGGGUAAGAAAGCACCGGCUAACUACGUG
Molecule: ribosomal RNA, 468 nt
Filed under: uncultured bacterium
Lineage: Bacteria
Description: partial 16S ribosomal RNA
Rfam family: Bacterial small subunit ribosomal RNA
Source: RNAcentral